UACGUAGGCAGCGAGCGUUGUUCGGAGUUACUGGGCGUAAAGGGUGUGUAGGCGGUUGUUAAGUUUGGUGUGAAAUCUCCCGGCUCAACUGGGAGGGUGCGCCGAAUACUGAAUGACUCGAGUGCGGGAGAGGAAAGUGGAAUUCCUGGUGUAGCGGUGAAAUGCGUAGAUAUCAGGAGGAACACCGGUGGUGUAGACGGCUUUCUGGACCGUAACUGACGCUGAGACACGAAAGCGUGGGUAGCAAACAGG
This 252-nucleotide ribosomal RNA is filed under the name uncultured bacterium. RNAcentral's name for it is "partial 16S ribosomal RNA". It matches the Rfam family "Bacterial small subunit ribosomal RNA", at positions 524 to 776 of the family's 1533-position model. The record is from RNAcentral.